This 193-nucleotide ribosomal RNA is filed under the name uncultured Bacillus sp. RNAcentral describes it as "partial 16S ribosomal RNA". It matches the Rfam family "Bacterial small subunit ribosomal RNA", at positions 340 to 524 of the family's 1533-position model. Lineage: Bacteria; Bacillati; Bacillota; Bacilli; Caryophanales; Bacillaceae. The record is from RNAcentral.
UACGGGAGGCAGCAGUAGGGAAUCUUCCGCAAUGGACGAAGGUCUGACGGAGCGACGCCGCGUGGGGGAUGACGGCCUUCGGAUCGUAAAACUCUGUUGUCGGGGAAGAACAAGUAUCGGCCUAAUACGCCGGUACCUUGACGGUACCUGAUUAGAAAGCCCCGGCUAACUACGUGCCAGCAGCCGCGGUAAU